RNAcentral lists this ribosomal RNA (465 nucleotides) under uncultured bacterium. RNAcentral's name for it is "bacterial SSU rRNA". It matches the Rfam family "Bacterial small subunit ribosomal RNA", at positions 355 to 823 of the family's 1533-position model. The record is from RNAcentral.
UGAGGAAUAUUGGACAAUGGGCGCAAGCCUGAUCCAGCCAUGCCGCGUGCAGGAUGACGGUCCUAUGGAUUGUAAACUGCUUUUGUACAGGAAGAAACAGUUCUACGUGUAGAACCUUGACGGUACUGUAAGAAUAAGGAUCGGCUAACUCCGUGCCAGCAGCCGCGGUAAUACGGAGGAUCCAAGCGUUAUCCGGAAUCAUUGGGUUUAAAGGGUCCGUAGGCGGUUAGAUAAGUCAGUGGUGAAAGCCCAUCGCUCAACGGUGGAACGGCCAUUGAUACUGUCUGACUUGAAUUAUUAGGAAGUAACUAGAAUAUGUAGUGUAGCGGUGAAAUGCUUAGAGAUUACAUGGAAUACCGAUUGCGAAGGCAGGUUACUACUAAUGGAUUGACGCUGAUGGACGAAAGCGUGGGUAGCGAACAGGAUUAGAUACCCCCGUAGUCCCUGAGCGGGCUGGCAAGGCGC